Molecule: unclassified non-coding RNA, 246 nt
Filed under: fungal sp.
Lineage: Eukaryota; Fungi
Description: partial internal transcribed spacer region
Rfam family: Eukaryotic small subunit ribosomal RNA (bases 1-46)
Source: RNAcentral
AAGUCGUAACAAGGUUUCCGUAGGUGAACCUGCGGAAGGAUCAUUAAAGUAUAUGCUGUUGGCUAAUUCAGUCGACUCUAUAUUUUGUGAAAACACUGACAAACAGUUUUAUUUGGGGUUUAAAGAGGUCUGCCGCAAGGUUAGACGACCCCAAACACAUUUAAUAACUACUAUCUUAUUCUGACUGACUGUUAUUUCAAUUUAUAAUUGACAAAAUAACUUUCAACAACGGAUCUCUUGGUUCUC